GGUAUUUUGACCGUGCAAAGGUAGCAUAAUCAAUAGUUUUUUAAUUGAAAGCUGGAAUGAAAGGUUGGAUGAGAAAUAAGCUGUCUCUAUUUAAUUUUAUUAAAAUUUUAUUUUUAAGUUAAAAAGCUUAAAUUUUGAUAGAAGACGAGAAGACCCUAUAGAGUUUUAUUUAUUUAUUAAAUAAGAUUAUUAGUAUUGAUUAUUUUUAUUUAAAAAAUGAAUUUAGUUGGGGUGAUUGAAAAAUUUAAUAAACUUUUUAUUAAUAUAAACAUUAAUGUAUGAGUAAUUGAUCCUUAGUUUAAGAUUAAAAGAUAAAAUUACCUUAGGGAUAACAGCGUAAUUUUUUUUGAGAGUUCUAAUCGAAAGAAAAGAUUGCGACCUCGAUGUUGGAUUAAAAUAAAAUUUUGGUGUAGAAGCUAAAA
Molecule: ribosomal RNA, 422 nt
Filed under: Laparocerus dispar
Lineage: Eukaryota; Metazoa; Arthropoda; Insecta; Coleoptera; Curculionidae
Description: partial 16S ribosomal RNA
Source: RNAcentral